CGAAACCUCACGCCCAGCAUCAUCACCAUCAUCCUCCUCCUCAUCCUCCUGUAGGACCCACCGCUAUGAUGCUGCAGAUCAUGAUCCCUCCAGUUGUAAUAAUGUAUUUUAGUGUGAUGGUCGGAGCUCAGUCGGAGGACAGACUGACCGAGAGAGCCUACGUGGUUCUGCAGAAGCAAAAUUUAGUCACUUUGGGGAGUGUCCUGGCCGUGCUGCUGCUGCUCAUGAUCAUCAUGGCUGUCUGCGUCUACAAACCGCUGGCUCGUCGCUGAAACUGUCCCGAAACCGUCACCGACAAACGGACAUGCCCGGUGCAAAGAGCCGCCUGCACCGAGGAGCCGAGUCCCGGUACCGGAGCCUCCUGCUGAGGGGAGCAGACCGGGGAGAGCUGAUCUCUGCCACCUAGCUGCCAGGAAGUCUGCACAGUCACUGUCAGCUGAUUAAUCUGUCAUGAGCUCAGGUAAGAAAACAGUGUAACUGUGCAGAGCUUGCCCAGCCUGAAUCCCUUCAACUGGGACAUAUUUGAAAGAGCAGAGACGAGUGCACUCGAGAGAAAGGUUGCGGAACAGAAAGUGGACCUCAAGAAGGCAGAAGAGCAAAAUGACGUUCAAGUGAGAACAAUCAGAUUGCUCUCUGAAGAACAUGCCUCAUGGGAAGCAAGGAUCGGACAGGUCUCUGAUCUCUCUGCUGAAAUGGACAAAAAGAUUGUAGACCUGUCCCACUUUCUCUAUUCAAAGAAAGAUAAAAAGAAAAAGAUCGUCGAGCAGCUAGAAUGUUCGACUAAACAGCUUGACAAUGAGAAGUCUGCGUUAAAGAAGAUGGAAGGCGUACUGCUAAAUUCCAGCAAUGAGCUUGAACAAGAGCGGGAUGUGGUCAAAUAGUUGGAUGAAGAACUGCGAAAUCUGAAAAAGAAGCUGCACCAAGAGAGGACCCUGGCAGAGAAGCUGGACCAAAGUGUACAACGUCUUACUGAGGAGGUCCACCAUGAGAAGACUGCGAGAAAACAGUUAUACAACCAUCUCAAGGAAGAAGUCGAGGUUGAAGUUGGUAUGCAGAUGGACCAGGAGACCCCAUCUGAUGCUGAAGAUGAGGUAACUCAGACACACCAUAAAAAAAAAUUGUCAGGUGUGCCAACCAUCUUCACAAGUCCUGGAUACAACAAAAAGCCAGGACCAUGAGGAAGAGACAGCCGAGGUGGUAGAAGAGGUUCCAGAGACAAACCAGGAUUCUCUUUGGAGUCGAACCUCCCAAUACUUGAGCUGGAAGACUGUUGGUGUGGUAGUUGGUCUAACAGUCGGUCUGUCUGUGGCCUUUACUUUCGUAGACCCACACCGUUUAAUGCUAGUGCACCACUUUAAAAAAAAAUUAUAUUCAAUUGCAAGUAAAUUUAAAGUAUUCACAGCUUAAUAUUCUGAUGCCAUGAUAAGAACUUUAAGAUCUAAAUAGCUGACUGUGUUAAGUUAAAUAAAUAAAUAUUUAAAAAUAAAGUUAGUAAUAAAUAAAAUAUUGCAAUAUUUUUUAAAAAUAAUUUAAAUAAUUAAAAUGAAUUUAAAAAAUGGUAAAAUUAAUAAACCUCUGUGUCACAUGUGUUGCAUAUAAUGUGUAUUCUAAAUAGCCACCUUUGCAAUUAAUUAAUAUUCAUUGUCAUUGAAAUUAAUUGCAAUUUGGAUUUAAAAUCUGCCUUCCCGGGAUCUUUCUGCAUGGAGUUUGCAUGUUCUCACUGUGCAUGCAUGGGUUUUCUCCAGGUUCUCCAGCUUCCUCCCACAGUCCAAAAACAGGCUGAGGUUAAUUGGUAACUCUAAAUUGCCCAUAGGUGUGAAUGCGAGUGUGACUGAUUGUAUAUGUAGCCCUGCGACAGACUGGCGACCUGUCCAGGGUGUCCCCUGCCUUCGCCCCAAGUCAGCUGGAAUAGACUGCCUUGUUGUCACUACAUAUGGCAAAACAACAAAUUUGUUUGACCGCUUAAAUCAGCAGGACAAGAUCUGUACGAGGAGCAUGAGCAAAAAGCCUCCUCCCACAGUCCAAAGAUAUGUUGAGGUUAAUUGGUGAUUGUAAAUUGUCCGCAGCUGUGAAUGUGAGUGUGUUUGGUUGUUUGUGUGUCCCCUGCCUUCGCCUUGAGUCGGUUGGGAUAGACUCCAGCCCUCGCUACCCUACAGAGCAUUAAGUGGAGUAUAGAAAAUGGAUCGAUAGUUAAUGUUGUAGACACUUACAGCUGCCUAUAGUUAGGAGGUUCCAAAAGUCUGUGCAGGUGGCCAGCAAUGUAUAGAGGGAAAUAUGACAAAUGAAAAUG
Long non-coding RNA from Amphiprion ocellaris (clown anemonefish), 2290 nucleotides. RefSeq lists it as uncharacterized. The transcript is spliced from 3 exons. Lineage: Eukaryota; Metazoa; Chordata; Actinopteri; Pomacentridae. The record is from RefSeq and is a predicted model, not a curated record.